GACGAACGCUGGCGGCGUGCCUAAUACAUGCAAGUAGAACGCUGAAGAGAGGAGCUUGCUCUUCUUGGAUGAGUUGCGAACGGGUGAGUAACGCGUAGGUAACCUGCCUUGUAGCGGGGGAUAACUAUUGGAAACGAUAGCUAAUACCGCAUAACAAUGGAUGACACAUGUCAUUUAUUUGAAAGGGGCAAUUGCUCCACUACAAGAUGGACCUGCGUUGUAUUAGCUAGUAGGUGAGGUAAUGGCUCACCUAGGCGACGAUACAUAGCCGACCUGAGAGGGUGAUCGGCCACACUGGGACUGAGACACGGCCCAGACUCCUACGGGAGGCAGCAGUAGGGAAUCUUCGGCAAUGGGGGCAACCCUGACCGAGCAACGCCGCGUGAGUGAAGGAGGUUUUCGGAUCGUAAAGCUCUGUUGUAAGUCAAGAACGGGUGUGAGAGUGGAAAGUUCACACUGUGACGGUAGCUUACCAGAAAGGGACGGCUAACUACGUG
RNAcentral lists this ribosomal RNA (497 nucleotides) under uncultured bacterium. RNAcentral's name for it is "partial 16S ribosomal RNA". It matches the Rfam family "Bacterial small subunit ribosomal RNA", at positions 28 to 507 of the family's 1533-position model. The record is from RNAcentral.